UCCCGCGUGGUCUAGCGGUUAGGAUUCCUGGCUUUCACCCAGGCGGCCCGGGUGCGACUUCCGGCGCGGGAG
RNAcentral lists this transfer RNA (72 nucleotides) under Clonorchis sinensis. It matches the Rfam family "tRNA". Rfam says of the family: Transfer RNA (tRNA) molecules are approximately 80 nucleotides in length. Their secondary structure includes four short double-helical elements and three loops (D, anti-codon, and T loops). Lineage: Eukaryota; Metazoa; Platyhelminthes; Trematoda; Opisthorchiida; Opisthorchiidae. The record is from Rfam by way of RNAcentral.